This 104-nucleotide small nuclear RNA is filed under the name Dasypus novemcinctus (nine-banded armadillo). The record is from RNAcentral. Lineage: Eukaryota; Metazoa; Chordata; Mammalia; Cingulata; Dasypodidae.
GCGCUCACUUCGAUAGCACAUAUUUUAAAAUUGGAACGAUAUAGAGAUUAGCAUGGCCCCUGUGCAAGGAUGAUAGGCAAAUUUGUGAAGCGUUCCGUAUUUUU